Hippocampus comes (tiger tail seahorse) is the source of this 269-nucleotide long non-coding RNA. RefSeq lists it as uncharacterized. NCBI's taxonomy places the organism in Eukaryota, Metazoa, Chordata, Actinopteri, Syngnathiformes, Syngnathidae. The record is from RefSeq and is a predicted model, not a curated record. The transcript is spliced from 2 exons.
GUUUUCAUUGUCCUUGUCACAGUCGUUUUUGCCUCGACUAACAAUGUAAUUGUUGUCAGUGUCGCAGUCAACGUUGCUUUCGUUUUCAUCACUGCUCUGUUGUUGUCAACGUUCUUGUAUCGUCGCUGUUGUUUUUGUUGUCAUUUUGGUUGUCAUGAUUGACGUCGCCAUCAUGUUCUCCGUCAUCCUCGUUAUGGGAUUUACACAAAGACGAGCAGUUUUGAGGCACUUGGUUGGCGGAGCCUUAACACUUUUUUAAAAAAAAUAAA